AGCGCCGUUGAUACUGUGAGGCUAGGAUUUGGUUGCUGUGGGCGGAAUGUGUGGUGUAGCGGUGAAAUGCUUAGAGAUCACACAGAAUAUCGAUUGCGAAGGCAGCUCACAAAGCCAAGAUUGACGCUGAGGCACGAAAGUGUGGGGAUCAAACAGGAUUAGAUACCCUGGUAGUCCACACUGUAAACGAUGAUAACUCGCUGUCGGCGAUAGACCGUCGGUGGCCAAGCGAAAGCGAUAAGUUAUCCACCUGGGGAGUACGACCGCAAGGUUGAAACUCAAAGGAAUUGACGGGGGCCCGCACAAGCGGAGGAACAUGUGGUUUAAUUCGAUGAUACGCGAGGAACCUUACCCGGGCUCGAACGGUGCAUGAAUGUCAGAGAGAUUUGACAGUCCUUCGGGACAUGUAUCGAGGUGCUGCAUGGUUGUCGUCAGCUCGUGCCGUGAGGUGUCGGCUUAAGUGCCAUAACGAGCGCAACCCUUGUUGACAGUUACCAUCAGGUAAAGCUGGGGACUCUGUCGAGACUGCCACCGUAAGGUGUGAGGAAUGGGGGGAUGACGUCAAAUCAGCACUGCCCUUACGUUCAGAGCGACACACGUGUUACAAUGGCAGGUACAGAGGGCGGCCAGGCAGCGAUGCCGCGCAAAUCUCGAAAGCCUGUCUCAGUUCGGAUUGGAGUCUGCAACUCGA
RNAcentral lists this ribosomal RNA (691 nucleotides) under uncultured bacterium. RNAcentral describes it as "bacterial SSU rRNA". It matches the Rfam family "Bacterial small subunit ribosomal RNA", at positions 620 to 1315 of the family's 1533-position model. The record is from RNAcentral.